Molecule: long non-coding RNA, 3057 nt
Filed under: Olea europaea subsp. europaea
Lineage: Eukaryota; Viridiplantae; Streptophyta; Magnoliopsida; Lamiales; Oleaceae
Source: RNAcentral
UGGCGGGCAAAAUGGUGCAAGUCCCACCCCGAAAUAUAGGUUUAGGUAAGAAUUUUCAAUUUCGCUCCUCUCCAAAUCUGCUUCUCCUCCCCUGUGCCGUUCCCCUCUCUCUCUUCCCCCCGUUCGCAUCCUUCCCCCCCGCCUCUCUCUCCCCCGUCUGCAUCUCCCCAGAGCAUUCUUGGAGUUGACAUUGAAAAUUUUUAACCCACUAUGAACGCAAAAGGGCAAAAACAAACCAAAACGGCAAGAUCCCGAGAAAUCAAAAGGACAAAAUCAAGAAUAAAAAAGUAAGAACGAUGGUCGAGGCCGGAGAUUUGGAGCUGAGUGGCCUUCAUCGCCAUCAACAGUUCACCUCUCAAUUUUCUCUCCGUUGACGAUGGUAUUUUUCUUCAAAAUAAUCUUGUAUUGUAUUGGGUGAUUGAUAUGGAUUUUCCGGUCACAACUACAUUUUUUGGCAUGUUUUUUAUUUGAAUCGAGAUAUGCAUUGGAUUGAGAAUUGAGAUUAAACAAUUUGGUUCUAAUUAAUUUUAUUUAUUCAGAAAAUUACCAGCUCCGUCCUCUGUUUUGUUUGAAGAGAAAGAAAAGGCUGAAAAGCAGUAACUUUUGAGUUUUGUUAUUGAAUUACAUGAAUUUAGGCAUUUAGCUUUGUGUUGGAAUUACAUUGAAUCAUUGAUAUUAUUUUGAUUCCUAGAUUCUUAGAUGUUUUUUCAUGUAUUGGACCGAGCAGUGGGCAGCAAAUGAGGCUUUAUGUGAAAUUUGAAUUGCAUAGAGUUUAGACAUUAAGGCAAUCAGAUCCUGGAGCUUGGGUGCUAUUUCUGUGAUUACCAAGAGAGCUGCGAACUAAAGGUCAAACACUUGUAAAAACCAUAACUGGAGUAAUAUGAUUAGAAGUAACUACAGGAACACGAACAAUUUAAGUUAUUAGCUUUCUCUUUUUUGGAGUUGAUAAUUAAUUUAUAUAAUAAUAAUCUCUUGAGUGGGCAAGACAAUUUCGCUUGCUGAUCCAGUAAUGAAUACUAGUCUGGAGGAUUGCAGAAUUUAAAUAGUGGGAAUCUUUUGGAUUUGCUAAUGCCAUUAAUUGAUUUUAAGUUCCAACGGCCAUGUUAAUUGUCCUCUAGCUGUUUGUAUUACUCUUUCAUGUCCCUCUUAUAAUUAUGGAUUUUUGACUGUUAUGAAAUAAUCUCCUAAACUCAAGUUACUCUUGCAUUUCAUUAAAUCUAAUUUAUUAACAUUUUGUGAAACUACAGGAGAGUUGAUUUAUAUAAUUUUUGUUCUAAUUUUACAGUUUAGGAAGUGUUAGAUGUUGAGUGACUUGAGUCAAAUGCCAUACCUCUAAUUUCUGUUGCUUUAUUAUUGAUUUUAAGUUAAUAAAUUUAGUUCCUUAAAACUUUUAUAAAUUAAAAAAAUCGAUUGCUUGCUAUGACUUAGGAUGUAACGAUUUGGAUCUCUGUACCCAAGCCAUUAGAUUACGUACUAUCCGCUUUGAGCGGGCCUUGCGUCCACUUACUCUUUAUGGCUUUCUGUCGCUUCUUCCAGGAUUCGAACUCAUAAUCCUUCCCUUAAUUAAGACUUAAGUUGAAUCUUGGUACCAAUUGGGCGAGAGCUCCGAGCUCAUGGAAUUGGUAUCCCAAUGAGCCGUCUAUCAAAUCGUCGCAAUUGACGUUCGAUCCCGAAGAGAAAUCAUCGCACCUACGGUCUAACCAAUUGGGAGAGAAUCAAUAGAUUCCUUUUCGGGAGUGAUUCAUCUGAGGAAACCUUUGCACGCCUCCGUUACCUUUUGGAAACAAAUUGAUAGGAUCCCCUUUUUUACGUCCCCAUGUCGCCAGUUGUUCAAUUGGUAUCAGGAUUCAACUUAAUUCUUAUUUAAGGAAAAUGUUAUGAGUUUGAAUCUUGGAGGACGCGAUAGAAAGCCGUAAGGGAUAAGUGGGCGCAAGGUCCUCCCAAAGCGGACAGUACGUAAGUUAACGGCUUGGGUACAGAGACCCGAGUCGUUACAUAGGAGGCCAAAUUCUAAAGUUCGCCUCACGACCUGUGAAACACAGAUCCGGCCAUGUUUGGGAAUGCACACCAUAUGCAAGGGACUAAUGGGGAUUUUGUUUUUGGACAUUAUUUAUGUUUGAUUAGUAUGAAGUUUCUAAUAUUGCAGAAUAUCUAAAUGCAAUCCAGUUCAGCUGUGAAGUUAUGAUGAUUACCCUAUAUGUUCUGAUAUUAAAUCUUAUGAGGAAAUUACGACAUGAUUACAGUGUUAAGUUUGAAGGGAUUGGAUAUGAAUUUGAGCAAUUUGUAACUCAACUGCUAAUUUGGUCUUGACACAAACUUUUUGCAUUGGCACUGAAGAUCUACUUUGCUAUUAUUUGCAUCUCCAUUGGCUUCCAAUUUAUAGAAAAACUGUUGGUCAUUUGUGCUAAACUUCGAGUUGAGGUUUCUAGCCACUUCCUUUGGUUUACCUAUGAUCUUAAAUUUUUUUCCGAAGUUGGUAACAUGAAGUAGGUAAUUAGUCUACUACCUUGUGGGUGCUUGUUUAACAUGGAUGCUAAUAAUUUUCAGUAAUUUAUUUUCCUUAAGGAUAAAUGCUUAUUUAAUUUCGUCUUUCUACACAACAACUGAUGCUCUUUUACAAAAUUUUGGGCAAUGUGGUCCAUCUUGUCGUCUUUGUUUAUCACGUGUUGUUGUACUUUGAUAUCUUUUAUUGUAUGUGUGUGCAUAUGGCAUGUUAUCCCAUUAUAUGAUUUCAAUAUUGCUGUCAACAUUAAUUUCUAUUCAAAUUUGGAUGGUAAGUAUAUUUCGAUUUUCCCCAGGGAUGUGAUGUCUGUAAUCAUCUCUGUUUAUUUCUGUGUGGUUAAAUCAUGACAAGCUUCUUCCAGGUAUGAUAAAUGACGUGAUGAAUUCCUUUGAAGUCAUAUUUUUAUGCUAUGGAGUUGAUAUCGUGUGAUUUUUCUUUAAUAAAUAGGAUGGAGUCAUUUUGUGCAGCUCACUAUUGCUGUGUGAACAAAGAUGCUAAAAGGUCCAAGUAUUCUGGUAAGUUACUCAAUUAUCACUUUUAUUUUUGUGGUCAAG